Non-coding RNA from Paramuricea clavata, 221 nucleotides. Lineage: Eukaryota; Metazoa; Cnidaria; Anthozoa; Malacalcyonacea; Plexauridae. The record is from the annotation of a GenBank genome assembly.
CCUAAAUUUCCGACAAAAAGCUUCAAAUUUCCGACAAACCCCUCCCAUUUGCAAUCAAAAUUUCCGAAAAUUCGGCAAUUUUCGGUAAAGGUGGGGGGCGAUCGCCCCACCGAGAUUUCCGCACACAGCAAAUACAGUAUUUGUUUGGAGGCAAUCUAUAUGAAUGAUCAUUAUCCAUUAAGAUAAAUAUUAAAAAUUUGACUAAGAUAAUGUGCUUGUCC